RNAcentral lists this unclassified non-coding RNA (253 nucleotides) under uncultured Rhodobacterales bacterium. Its description in RNAcentral is "contains 16S-23S intergenic spacer region". It matches the Rfam family "Bacterial small subunit ribosomal RNA", at positions 524 to 776 of the family's 1533-position model. The record is from RNAcentral. Lineage: Bacteria; Pseudomonadati; Pseudomonadota; Alphaproteobacteria; Rhodobacterales.
UACGAAGGGGGCUAGCGUUGUUCGGAAUUACUGGGCGUAAAGCGCACGUAGGCGGACUAUUAAGUCAGGGGUGAAAUCCCGGGGCUCAACCCCGGAACUGCCCUUGAUACUGGUAGUCUGUAGUUCUGGAGAGGUGAGUGGAAUUGCGAGUGUAGAGGUGAAAUUCGUAGAUAUUCGGAGUAACACCAGUGGCGAAGGCAGCUCACUGGCCAGAUACUGACGCUGAGGUGCGAAAGUGUGGGGAGCAAACCGG